UACGUAGGGUGCAAGCGUUAAUCGGAAUUACUGGGCGUAAAGCGUGCGCAGGCGGUUUUGUAAGUCUGAUGUGAAAUCCCGGGGCUCAACCUGGGAAUUGCAUUGGAGACUGCAAGGCUAGAAUCUGGCAGAGGGGGGUAGAAUUCCACGUGUAGCAGUGAAAUGCGUAGAGAUGUGGAGGAACACCGAUGGCGAAGGCAGCCCCCUGGGUCAAGAUUGACGCUCAUGCACGAAAGCGUGGGGAGCAAACAGG
Molecule: ribosomal RNA, 253 nt
Filed under: uncultured bacterium
Lineage: Bacteria
Description: partial 16S ribosomal RNA
Rfam family: Bacterial small subunit ribosomal RNA
Source: RNAcentral